Molecule: ribosomal RNA, 372 nt
Filed under: uncultured bacterium
Lineage: Bacteria
Description: bacterial SSU rRNA
Rfam family: Bacterial small subunit ribosomal RNA
Source: RNAcentral
AUACGUAGGGGGCGAGCGUUGUCCGGAAUUACUGGGCGUAAAGGGUACGCAGGCGGCCAUGUAAGUCAGAUGUGAAAGGUCACGGCUCAACCGUGGUAAGCAUUUGAAACUGUGUGGCUUGAGUUAAGGAGAGGAAAGUGGAAUUCCUGGUGUAGCGGUGAAAUGCGUAGAUAUCAGGAGGAAUACCAGUGGCGAAGGCGACUUUCUGGACUUAAACUGACGCUGAGGUACGAAAGCGUGGGGAGCAAACAGGAUUAGAUACCCUGGUAGUCCACGCCGUAAACGAUGAGUGCUAGGUGUCGGAGGGAGACUUUCGGUGCCGCAGUUAACACAUUAAGCACUCCGCCUGGGGAGUACGUUCGCAAGAAUGAA